UGUAGGCGUAUACCAAAGUUGUUGCAGUUAAAACGCUCGUAGUCGGAAUUUGGCAGUUCCGGAUGUGUGCACAUCGUGUGCGCACUUCGCGGGGAUUGCUUUUGUGGUCUUGCGUAGGAUGAGGCACUUUUAUUAGUGAACGUCCUCACGCAACCACUUUUUACUGUGAGAAAAUCAGAGUGCUCAAAGCAGGCAUUUGCCGUGAAUGUAUUAGCAUGGAAUAAUAGAAUAGGACUUGGUUCUAUUUUGUUGGUUUGUUGGGACUGAGUAAUGAUUAAGAGGGACAGUUGGGGGCAUUUGUAUUUCGGUGCUAGAGGUGAAAUUCUUAGAUUACCGAAAGACAAACUGCUGCGAAAGCGUCUGCCAAGGAUGUUUUCAUUGA
This 382-nucleotide ribosomal RNA is filed under the name uncultured eukaryote. RNAcentral describes it as "partial 18S ribosomal RNA". It matches the Rfam family "Eukaryotic small subunit ribosomal RNA", at positions 592 to 976 of the family's 1831-position model. The record is from RNAcentral.